This 714-nucleotide ribosomal RNA is filed under the name uncultured bacterium. RNAcentral describes it as "bacterial SSU rRNA". It matches the Rfam family "Bacterial small subunit ribosomal RNA", at positions 65 to 774 of the family's 1533-position model. The record is from RNAcentral.
AGCGGGAAGUAGUUUACUACUUCGCCGGCGAGCGGCGGACGGGUGAGUAAUGUCUGGGAAACUGCCUGAUGGGGGGGGAUAACUACUGGAAACGGUAGCUAAUACCGCAUAACGUCUUCGGACCAAAGUGGGGGACCUUCGGGCCUCACGCCAUCGGAUGUGCCCAGAUGGGAUUAGCUAGUAGGUGGGGUAAUGGCUCACCUAGGCGACGAUCCCUAGCUGGUCUGAGAGGAUGACCAGCCACACUGGAACUGAGACACGGUCCAGACUCCUACGGGAGGCAGCAGUGGGGAAUAUUGCACAAUGGGCGCAAGCCUGAUGCAGCCAUGCCGCGUGUGUGAAGAAGGCCUUCGGGUUGUAAAGCACUUUCAGCGAGGAGGAAGGCCAAUAACUUAAUAGGUUGUUGGAUUGACGUUACUCGCAGAAGAAGCACCGGCUAACUCCGUGCCAGCAGCCGCGGUAAUACGGAGGGUGCAAGCGUUAAUCGGAAUUACUGGGCGUAAAGCGCACGCAGGCGGUUUGUUAAGUCAGAUGUGAAAUCCCCGCGCUUAACGUGGGAACUGCAUUUGAAACUGGCAAGCUAGAGUCUUGUAGAGGGGGGUAGAAUUCCAGGUGUAGCGGUGAAAUGCGUAGAGAUCUGGAGGAAUACCGGUGGCGAAGGCGGCCCCCUGGACAAAGACUGACGCUCAGGUGCGAAAGCGUGGGGAGCAAACA